Molecule: ribosomal RNA, 1346 nt
Filed under: uncultured bacterium
Lineage: Bacteria
Description: bacterial SSU rRNA
Rfam family: Bacterial small subunit ribosomal RNA
Source: RNAcentral
GACGAACGCUGGCGGCGUGCUUAACACAUGCAAGUCGAACGGAAAGGCCCUGCUUUUGUGGGGUGCUCGAGUGGCGAACGGGUGAGUAACACGUGAGUAACCUGCCCUUGACUUUGGGAUAACUUCAGGAAACUGGGGCUAAUACCGGAUAGGAGCUCCUGCUGCAUGGUGGGGGUUGGAAAGUUUCGGCGGUUGGGGAUGGACUCGCGGCUUAUCAGCUUGUUGGUGGGGUAGUGGCUUACCAAGGCUUUGACGGGUAGCCGGCCUGAGAGGGUGACCGGCCACAUUGGGACUGAGAUACGGCCCAGACUCCUACGGGAGGCAGCAGUGGGGAAUAUUGCACAAUGGGCGGAAGCCUGAUGCAGCAACGCCGCGUGCGGGAUGACGGCCUUCGGGUUGUAAACCGCUUUCGCCUGUGACGAAGCGUGAGUGACGGUAAUGGGUAAAGAAGCACCGGCUAACUACGUGCCAGCAGCCGCGGUGAUACGUAGGGAGCGAGCGUUGUCCGGAUUUAUUGGGCGUAAAGGGCUCGUAGGUGGUUGAUCGCGUCGGAAGUGUAAUCUUGGGGCUUAACCCUGAGCGUGCUUUCGAUACGGGUUGACUUGAGGAAGGUAGGGGAGAAUGGAAUUCCUGGUGGAGCGGUGGAAUGCGCAGAUAUCAGGAGGAACACCAGUGGCGAAGGCGGUUCUCUGGGCCUUUCCUGACGCUGAGGAGCGAAAGCGUGGGGAGCGAACAGGCUUAGAUACCCUGGUAGUCCACGCUGUAAACGGUGGGUACUAGGUGUGGGGUCCAUUCCACGGGUUCCGUGCCGUAGCUAACGCUUUAAGUACCCCGCCUGGGGAGUACGGCCGCAAGGCUAAAACUCAAAGGAAUUGACGGGGCCCCGCACAAGCGGCGGAGCAUGCGGAUUAAUUCGAUGCAACGCGUAGAACCUUACCUGGGUUUGACAUGGAUCGGGAGCGCUCAGAGAUGGGUGUGCCUCUUUUGGGGUCGGUUCACAGGUGGUGCAUGGCUGUCGUCAGCUCGUGUCGUGAGAUGUUGGGUUGAGUCCCGCAACGAGCGCAACCCUUGUUCACUGUUGCCAGCACGUUAUGGUGGGGACUCAGUGGAGACCGCCGGGGUCAACUCGGAGGAAGGUGGGGAUGACGUCAAGUCAUCAUGCCCCUUAUGUCCAGGGCUUCACGCAUGCUACAAUGGCUGGUACAGAGAGUGGCGAGCCUGUGAGGGUGAGCGAAUCUCGGAAAGCCGGUCUCAGUUCGGAUUGGGGUCUGCAACUCGACCUCAUGAAGUCGGAGUCGCUAGUAAUCGCAGAUCAGCAACGCUGCGGUGAAUACGUUCCCGGGGCU